GCAGAAAUGAUGAAGACACUGUUCGCCAGUUGCAGACACAGUAGUUGCCACCUGUACGGGCAGCUAUAACGCUGACCAGGAGUUGGCCGAGUCGUUCAUCCUUCAGCGUUGGAUGCGUGGACCAACUGACCUAUAGGCGUGCAUCAUAUCAAAAUUACAUGUAGGAAGAAUUGUGUACAAACUAUAAUAAUAUUUUUUAGCCUAUAGCCGAGUGAAAAUAUCUGCCCAAUCGUUCCAACUUUGAUUUGUUGAUUUAUUUCUCACUUCGCCACUAGGACUUAAGUUUGAACAUGUCAGGUUCUGAGGCAGAUAUUGGGGAAACCUUUAAAGUAAGUGAACCAAUUACUUUGGAAUCUGAGGAAGGCCAGCGGCUUCUGGAUGAAGCUGAAGUUCGUCAAGACAUCUUAAUGGACGUGUUUGAUUUCCAGCAGCACUAUUCGCACUGUGGCAUACAGAGUGCAGCGCUUCUUCUUGCAUCCUUUGAAUGUGGAAAAGCGUGUCGUGAAGCAGGGCAUCGCAACUUCAGACACUGUAAGGACAUUAAGGAGCAGUACCACGGAUUUGCUAUGUUCGCCUUCAAGGAGACCGAGGAGAUCAUUACCCAUGAUGUCGUCCAGAAAAAAGGCACCUCAUUGAUGGAUGUAGGCCAGUUACUCGUCAGCCACAAACACCAAGCUACGAUGUACUUUGGUCAAGAGUCCUCCGUGGAUGAAUUCCGCUGUCUAGCCGUGGAAGCCCUGCGCCAUGAAGAUUCCAGCGCUGGAGUUAUUCUGAACUUCCAGCGAUACCUUUUGGGUCAAAUCGGGAAGGCUUCCAAGUUUGGACAUCACAGUCCCUUUUGCGCGUAUCACAAAGCCUCUGACCGCUUUCUAAUGCUUGAUACUAAUGGUAUUGUCAUGAAUGCUGGCAAACCCAAAGUGUGGUUAAAGACCGAAGAUUUGUUUCAGGCAACGCAAGAUGUUGAUGUAGCUACUGGAAAGUCGCGAGGAUUUGUGAUCAUGGGUGGUGUUAUCUGAACAUACUUUCAGGCAUUUUAUUAACUUGGAGCAUCUCGUGUUUAUUUAGAGUAUUGUAGCAUGUAUAAUGGUUCAAAAACAGGCUUAAAUUGUUUUUAAUGAAUUCAAAUGUUGCAACAGUGUACCCCUUUAAAUUUUAAAUCUCAACCAUUUGUCAGACUGUUUGAACAGAAAACUAGCAGACUUUAUUUGAUUUUCUUUGCCUGUCAUUUUUAUCUGGAAGACUUUCCUUUAUUAACUUGGAGCAUCUCGUGUUUAUUUAGAGUAUUGUAGCAUACUUAAUCUGAGGCCAGUGUUUUCCUAAUAUAAAAUACUUUAUUAUAUACAUAUAUUUUAUUACAUACAUGUUUUUUCAACUAUAUUUUACUAUUUUGUUAAGCUAAUGUUCCAGUCUUCCAGAUAAAAAUGACAGGCAAAGAAAACCAAAUAAAGUCUGCUAGUUUUCUGUUUAAACAGUCCGACAAAUGGUUGAGAUUUAAAAUUUAAAGGGGUACACUGUUACAACAUUUGAAUUCAUUAAAAACAAUUUUAGCCUGUUUUUAUAAUAAAUAUUUAUUUCUCAUUAAUAUGUAUGCUAAUUAGUCUAAGGUCUCGGUCUCGGUCUCGCCCAUAAGAUAUCGGUCUCCGAGUCUCGGCUUUGGACCCUUCGGUCUCGGUGUCGGUCCUAAGGUCUUGGUUUCGGUCUCGGUCUCGAGCUUUCAGGUCUCGACUACAACACGGGUUUUAUUAUUCAUGCUGUGCACUGACAUGGUGCCAUUUUGAAGAGUAUUUUACACACUAGAAGAAUGUUGUCUUUAUUAUCUAAUGCAAUAACAUAUGGACAAUUCAAUGUGAGCAGCAUUGAUGAAUAUAGGAAUGACUCAUAAUUGUUUAAUUCAUUAAUAGAAAUAAGCAGUUAUCUAUAACCAUCACGUUAAUUAAAAUGGACAGACUUUGAUAUUUUGUAUUUUUA
RNAcentral lists this unclassified non-coding RNA (1968 nucleotides) under Patiria miniata (bat star). RNAcentral's name for it is "glutathione gamma-glutamylcysteinyltransferase-like, transcript variant X2". The record is from RNAcentral. Lineage: Eukaryota; Metazoa; Echinodermata; Asteroidea; Valvatida; Asterinidae.